GCAGGUUUUCCAGAGGAUGGCCCAGCUAGAUCGGACGACAGCUAGAUCGGACGACAGCCAGAGGCAAGGGUAAAAAGCAGACAGUUUACAUGGAGUUUUUUUUGCCACUGUGUUGUUUCACAGUAGUCCACCCUCGCGCUGUAGGGUGGAUUGAACUCAAGACCUUGCACUUCCGAAGCAGCAAGUUCUCUGGCAAGAUAACACUAGCCUCAAUGGGUUCUGGGGAGAGGAGGAGGAGAAAGAGGAAUCAGAGCCACUCAGAAGAAUCUGAACUGAGCAGUGGUAGACCGAGCUGGAUACACUUUGUCUCUGCAAACACCCAUCACAGCUAAUGAGAUGGAAAUGCAAUGGGAAAUGAACCACACUUUUUAAAACCUUCUUUUCCAAUUUCAUUGACUAUGAAAAUUUGCAGGAAACCUUCAGAGAUGAGAAGGGAGAUGGUGAAAGCAAACCAGACCAGAAUACAAAAUAACUUCAUUCACAUCAGAAAUCACUGGCAGGAUUUUGCUGUUACACACAAUCUGUUAGUUGGUUGAAUGGAGGACAGCCUGGUCAGAGUGGGGUCAACUGUGCCAAAAGAAGACAACAGUCAUCAGUUCCCUUUUUCUCCGGG
Molecule: long non-coding RNA, 613 nt
Organism: Heterocephalus glaber (naked mole-rat)
Lineage: Eukaryota; Metazoa; Chordata; Mammalia; Rodentia; Bathyergidae
Source: Ensembl